AGUGUAGCUCAGUGGUAAAGCACUUGCUUGUCAUACAGAAGGUCUAGGUUCAAUCCCCAGCACU
Molecule: transfer RNA, 64 nt
Filed under: Heterocephalus glaber (naked mole-rat)
Lineage: Eukaryota; Metazoa; Chordata; Mammalia; Rodentia; Bathyergidae
Rfam family: tRNA
About the family: Transfer RNA (tRNA) molecules are approximately 80 nucleotides in length. Their secondary structure includes four short double-helical elements and three loops (D, anti-codon, and T loops). Further hydrogen bonds mediate the characteristic L-shaped molecular structure. tRNAs have two regions of fundamental functional importance: the anti-codon, which is responsible for specific mRNA codon recognition, and the 3' end, to which the tRNAs corresponding amino acid is attached (by aminoacyl-tRNA synthetases). tRNAs cope with the degeneracy of the genetic code in two manners: having more than one tRNA (with a specific anti-codon) for a particular amino acid; and 'wobble' base-pairing, i.e. permitting non-standard base-pairing at the 3rd anti-codon position.
Source: Rfam by way of RNAcentral